GACUAAACUGCUUCUGGACCUGAAGUCUGUUCAACAAUCCCGUAAAAACUGCCUCUGAAAAACAGGUCGCGGCGGGCCAUGGAGACAGCGGCGGUCCGCCCGGGCAGACGGCGGCCGGCGGCCAUCCCCGUGUCGCCGCCCCGGGUGCCCACCCCUGUGCCCGCUGGGGAUGCCAGGACUUCGGCGCGGCACCACCCUCAGCAGCAGCAGCAACAACAACAACAACAACAACAGAAGCAACAGCUGCUGCAGCACCA
Schistocerca americana (American grasshopper) is the source of this 257-nucleotide long non-coding RNA. RefSeq lists it as uncharacterized. NCBI's taxonomy places the organism in Eukaryota, Metazoa, Arthropoda, Insecta, Orthoptera, Acrididae. The transcript has 3 exons. The record is from RefSeq and is a predicted model, not a curated record.